RNAcentral lists this ribosomal RNA (500 nucleotides) under uncultured bacterium. RNAcentral describes it as "partial 16S ribosomal RNA". It matches the Rfam family "Bacterial small subunit ribosomal RNA", at positions 30 to 523 of the family's 1533-position model. The record is from RNAcentral.
AUUGAACGCUGGCGGAAUGCUUUACACAUGCAAGUCGAACGGCAGCACGGACUUCGGUCUGGUGGCGAGUGGCGAACGGGUGAGUAAUGUAUCGGAACGUGCCCAGUCGUGGGGGAUAGCGUGGUGAAAAUUACGCUAAUACCGCAUACGAUCUAUGAACGAAAGCGGGGGAUCGCAAGACCUCGCGCGAUUGGAGCGGCGUAUAUCAGAUUAGGGAGUUGGUGGGGUAAAGGCCCACCAAGCCAACGAUCUGUAGCUGGUCUGAGAGGACGACCAGCCACACUGGAACUGAGACACGAUCCGGACUCCUACGGGAGGCAGCAGUGGGGAAUUUUGGACAAUGGGCGAAAGCCUGAUCCAGCCAUUCCGCGUGCAGGAUGAAGGCCCUCGGGUUGUAAACUGCUUUUGUACAGAACGAAAAGGUUUCUACUAAUACUAGGAGCUCAUGACGGUACUGUAAGAAUAAGCACCGGCUAACUACGUGCCAGCAGCCGCCGUAA